CUCCUGCUCCCCCCACCCCAUCACACACACACAGCUGGCCUAGGCUGCCAGCUGCUCUUUGCGCAAGCGUGGUCAGCAGGGGCGGACCGACCUCCUCCGUUUGCUCCCCCCGCUCUCUUCUCAGCUCAUGCUAACUUUACACAGUGCCAUUAUUUCGCAUCCUUCCCUUCCUUGCAAAGCGGUUGCGUUCGGCAGCCCUUCCUCCGGGGAGCCCUGCAGCCCCCUCUCCGCACAAUUCGGAUUACAAUCCUUUCUUCCCUUUGCAGACGGCUCUGGCCAGCAAAUAGCGGAUCGGAAACCCCCUCCCCCUCGGCACCCGGAUGGCUGCUUGAUGCGUCAGCGUCUCUGGUGCCACCCUCAGCAUGGAAUCCAAACGGCCCCUGCUCAUGAAGAGAUGAGCAAUGGGCACAAGGAGAGGAUGCAGUGGGAAGCCCAAAGGAGAGGAGUUAAGUGCAUGUAACCCACCGCUCAGCGUGUCCCUCUUUGAGCCUGAUCCAUAGAGGCUAUAAAUCUGUUACAGCUGCUAGAUUAGGCAACUCACUCCUUCAACACAAACUGUAACAUGUUGUUAGCUCUGGAGGUUCUCGGUUCGGUCCCCAGCCACGACAAAGGUGCCAGUUGUCACAUUAGCCUUUUUCUCUUUAAAAUGAUCGACUCCCUCAUAUGACCUCUCACAUCGCCUGGCUGGGUUAGGGUGUCCCAGGAGGGCUGAUGUCUGCAGCCAUCUGGGUUCUCCUCCAACUCUCUCCCUCUUGGUGUGAUGAUCAUUCACCCCUUGGGCCCAGUUCUGCCCUCUGAGAUGUGCGCACACCCUACUUGUCCAGGUCACGUGUCUGUGUAUCUGAAGGCUGGAUUCCCUUGGGGGAAAGUCUUAUCUUCCUGUUCUGUGACGUAUUGAGGACCUGAGCUGUGAACGCGCCACUACAGAGUGUAUCACUUACUUUGGAGUUCCACCCACAGAGACUAAGCACUAUGCCUGGUAGUGGUUACAGGGUCAGGCCCUUAGUCACAGCUUUCCUGGGGAGCUUUAAAAAAGGCCUCGUACAAGCAGGGCCGGCUC
RNAcentral lists this long non-coding RNA (1060 nucleotides) under Chrysemys picta bellii (western painted turtle). Its description in RNAcentral is "lncRNA (ENSCPBG00000011118.1)". Lineage: Eukaryota; Metazoa; Chordata; Testudines; Emydidae. The record is from RNAcentral.